RNAcentral lists this transfer RNA (76 nucleotides) under Clostridioides difficile. RNAcentral's name for it is "tRNA-Lys". It matches the Rfam family "tRNA". Rfam says of the family: Transfer RNA (tRNA) molecules are approximately 80 nucleotides in length. Their secondary structure includes four short double-helical elements and three loops (D, anti-codon, and T loops). The record is from RNAcentral. Lineage: Bacteria; Bacillati; Bacillota; Clostridia; Peptostreptococcales; Peptostreptococcaceae.
UGGGGAUUAGCCAUGUUGGUCUGGUACAUGACUUUUGCUCAUGUAUGCGUAAGUUCGAGUCCUGCAUCCCAAGCCA